RNAcentral lists this ribosomal RNA (253 nucleotides) under uncultured Bacteroides sp. Its description in RNAcentral is "partial 16S ribosomal RNA". It matches the Rfam family "Bacterial small subunit ribosomal RNA", at positions 524 to 776 of the family's 1533-position model. Lineage: Bacteria; Pseudomonadati; Bacteroidota; Bacteroidia; Bacteroidales; Bacteroidaceae. The record is from RNAcentral.
UACGUAGGGGGCAAGCGUUAUCCGGAUUUACUGGGUGUAAAGGGAGCGUAGGUGGAUUGUUAAGUCAGUUGUGAAAGUUUGCGGCUCAACCGUAAAAUUGCAGUUGAAACUGGCAGUCUUGAGUACAGUAGAGGUGGGCGGAAUUCGUGGUGUAGCGGUGAAAUGCUUAGAUAUCACGAAGAACUCCGAUUGCGAAGGCAGCUCACUGGACUGCAACUGACACUGAGGCGCGAAAGCGUGGGGGGCAAACAGG